This 235-nucleotide long non-coding RNA is filed under the name Lathyrus oleraceus (garden pea). Its description in RNAcentral is "Pisum sativum (pea) long non-coding RNA (PSAT_LNC008527)". The record is from RNAcentral. Lineage: Eukaryota; Viridiplantae; Streptophyta; Magnoliopsida; Fabales; Fabaceae.
UUCCGAUUCGGUUCUACCAUACCGCUCUCUCGGUCCAGUGUCACCAAAUUGUGUCCGACUUUUACUUUCUCAUGGUUGCAUCAACUUCCGGGGUACCUUAACAGAACAAGCAUGGGGAGUGUCUUUCAUCCACUACAAUCGAUCCCGGAUUCGUCCAAUAAUUUCUCAUCACUUUGUACACACAGGUAAACAAUAAAAACAAAAUACUACAACAACAGAAGCAAAAAUGAAAGCC